UUACAAGCAGGUAUUUUCUUUGAUAAAUGUUGGCUUCAUCUAUCACACAAGAGUCUCUGGGAACUCGGUGUCCCAGCAGUAAACACUUCUGUUUGACUGGUGUUGAAAGAGUUAACAAAGGUCGAGUCGCAGGUGGUAGACGACCAACACAACAGUAUACAUGCUCUGCCUAGUACCUAUCACGAUCUACGUUGCACUUUUCACAGUUUCCAAAAAGAUUAGAAUAGAAGUUAUUUAUGAUUCAUAGUGUAAAAAAAGAUUUAUCGAGUAUUAGGCCCAAUAUACUUGACUUUGUGAAUCAAAGAUAUUUAUGUUACAGUUAAAAUAAUGAAGAAUAUAAAAAGUUAAAAUCUUACCUUGUUUAUGUUUACUUAAUUUUUCAUCCUGAUAGCGAGAUUCUGAGAUUAGUUAAUAUGACUCCCAAAAAUUGAUGAAUGACUCCUAAUCUGAAAAGUUGGGGGUCAUAAUGACUCCCAAUUUUUAAUGUCUAGGGCAAACCCUGCAUGUUGAACUUGAAGAGCGAUGGUCUUCACACUUCUUUAUUAUGGCGACGACAAAGGUCCUUGUAAUGGAUCACUUAUAUGGAAAUCCAUGUUGUGCCAUGUAUGUUAUGUAGUUAACUAAACUAUCCUCCUCUAAAUUUAGCAUAGGUUUUGGACCACGUUUUGAAAAAUCUUGAACGAGUCCAUGAACAUGAUCAUCAAUAUUUUUUCUUGGUACAGCAUUUUGCCUUCAAGCUUGCGGAACCGUCAUUUUCCUUGCCCCUUCAACACCAACAGCAUUAGCCAAACUUUUGGCUGGGUAUCUUUGUUUUUUUAAAAGACAGCAUCGAAAAUUAGAUAUUUAAUGAAUGAUAAUGGGUGCUAUGUAUUCCUCUAAUAUAUUAUCAUGAUUAUUUCAACUCGUAAUUUUAGUUAAAUCUUAUGUAAUGGCUACAUCAUGUUGCAUUACAAAUAAAGAAGAAACACUUCUGAGCUGGAUAUACAUGAUAUAGCCUUGGCCAAAAAUUUCAUGUGAGUAGAAUCUCCUAAUUAAUGGUGUUUCAGAUGGCAUCCAUUUCGGAAACCUUGACUUAGAAAUUACUCUAGUAAGCUUUUUAUUCAACAUUUUCUAAUUUGUCUAUUAUUGAUUUGACUCAGCUUAUCUUAAAUUAAAAGGACUCCAGGGUUUAAUGAAAAAUGAAGCUCUGCAUGUUGCAUAGCCGUUGAGUAUGUAGUUUAAGAUAGGGUUGUUAACGGGACAGUCUUUGGUUUUGUUUUUGGAAUAACCAAAAUUAUGUGAUGUUUGUUAAUUGAAUAAUGAUAAUCCGAAUAAGAAACAUGACUAUUAAGUUAUGAAACUCAACCAUAUGUUUUCGUUAUGUCUAAUGCCUAUUGUAUAUAGCAAGUGACUGGUUGUUGUCUGCUGUAUUCUAUCGUCUGCUGACGGAGUGUGUAUCAAAUGUAGUCAGGAUUCAUACUGUUUGCAAAUGCAACAUAGCAGUUCCCUGAUCUGAUAAAUUAUGUGUACUGGAUCUGUGAGGUGUAAACUCGGCAAUAUAAUGUUUGUCAUAAGUUUCUUCAGACUAUCACCUUAAUAAAUGAUGUCUGCCUUGUGCUUACCAACAGUUAGUUAGUUACAGUUAGUCAUGGUUUGUCGAACAGGCCCACUAUUGGAGGUAGUGUAGUACAUCUACUGUACCAACAUUCAAAUAAUUCUUGAUAGACUAAAUUUAUUUGUCAUCAUGUGAGUUGGCAGUUUAUCGUCUAUUUGGGCCUAUGACAUGACAAGUCUUCUCCUGAUGUUCUGGUUCCUUUUUUGACAUUCUUCUUUAAUGCUAUAUUUGAUUCUGCAUAUUUUCCCUCAUCUUGGGCUGUUGGCCACAUUGUUCCUAUAUAUAAGAAAGGCGAUGCCAAUUCUCCCACUAAUUAUAGGGGUAUCACUAUCUUAAGUGUAUUCAGUAAACUUUAUAUUUCUAUUUUAAACAGAAGACUUCAGUUUUGGUCGGAAUCCUAUGAUAGACUAGUAGAGUCUCAGGCUGGUUUUAGGAGUGGAUAUUCCACAACUGAUAAUAUUUUUGUUUUAUAUUCAGUAAUAGAGAAAUAUUUGGCUAAGAAACGAGGUGUGAUUUAUGCCUUGUUUGUUGAUUUUGCCAAAGCCUUUGAUUCCAUAGAUAGAUCCAAAUUGCGUAUGGUACUAUACAAAAAUGGUAUUUCUCCGAAAAUGUUCUGUUGUAUACAGUCAAUUUAUAAACAAGUUUUGGCAUUGGUCAAAUACAAUAACUCAUUUUCUGAUAUGUUUAGCUGCAGUAAGGGAGUUCGUCAAGGAUGUGUCCUUAGUCCCAUUUUGUUUGCCUUGUUCAUAAAUGAUCUUGCCAUAGAUAUUGAAUCCAGUUGCGCACAUGGUAUCCAAUUUCAUCCAGAUGUAGUUCAAUUGUUUUUAUUACUUUUCGCAGAUGAUGUCAUUCUCAUAGCAGAUACUGUUUAUGGUCUCCAGAAAAGAAUCAAUGUGUUAGAAUGUUAUUGUAAAGAUUAUUCAUUAACAGUCAAUAUUGAUAAAACUAAAGUAGUAGUUUUUAAAAAUGGGAGUGUUCUUUCAAAAUAUGAAAAAUGGGUUUACGAUGGAAAAUUGUUGGAAUGUGUAACUACAUAUAAAUACCUUGGUGUAUUAUUUUUUCGAAAUCUAUCUUGGAGUGCACAUAUAUCUAAUGUUGUUAAUCAAGCUAAAAAGGUUUUAUUUAAGCUUUUGAAGUCCCUACAGCUAAUUAAACCUACUCCUAUGAAUAUUUUCUUUAAAAUUUUUGAUGCUAAAGUUGUGCCAGUACUUCUUUACGGUGCAGAAGUUUGGGGUUUAUCUUUAUCGUUUUGCGAGGAGAUUGAAGUUGUUCAUACACUUGCUUGUAAACGUAUUUUAGGAGUUAAGUCAGCAACUUCCAAUCAUGUUGUGCGUGGAGAGUGUGGGAGAUACCCUUUGUAUAUCUAUGCUUUCAAAAGAUGCUUGAAUUAUUGGUGUAAGAUUUUAAAGAUGCCCGAUUCGCGUUAUCCACGAAAAAGUUACAAUAUGCUUGUGCAGCAGGCCAUAGCAGGUAAGACUAAUUGGGCCUCUAGAGUUAAAUUACUUUUGUACGCCUAUGGCUUUGGCUACGUAUGGGAAAAUCAGCAUCUUGUUAUUUCUAUUUCAUUUAUUGAUGAGUUCAUACAAAGAUUAAAAUGCUCUUAUGAACAAGAUUGGCAUUUUGCUUUGACCAAUAGCCCCAAGUAUUCAUCAUAUCUUUGUUAUAAAUUUAGGUUUAGCAGGGAAUUUUUUUUAUCGGCUAUUACAAUCAAUAAGUUUCGCGUUGCACUGGCACGUUUUAGAGCUAGCUCCCACUCGCUCCACAUAGAAACCGGGAGAUAUUUUGGUAUCCCAAGACAGCGAAGGUUAUGUAUGGUUUGUAAAACAGGCUAUGUUGAGUCUGAAUACCAUUUUGUAUUGGUUUGUGAAAAAUAUUAUGCUCUCCGAGUGACAUAUAUUCCUCAAAAAUAUUAUGUAAAUCCAUCAAUAGAACAAUUUUACAUACUUAUGUCGUCUCUGCAUCAGUCAACAAUUAGAAGUCUGGCUUGUUAUAUUUACCACGCUUUUAAGUUAAGGAAUUCAUUUUUGCAGAAGUAAUAUUCUUUAUCUAUGAAUGCCUUGCUGUUGUGUAUUUAGGUGUACACAGUUGUAUUUUUAUACAUGUCUGGUGAACCGAAUUGUACUAUGGGCCGCUGGCCCACUCAUGUACUGAAUAAACAGAUUAGACAAGAAUAAAGCAGAACCAUCAAAGCUAUGUUAAGCAGACGAAUAUCCGCAAUAUCAUUAUGUUGCUGUCACAGGUCACCAGGUAUGUCGGUGCUAUUAAAGUUUGGGGACGUGGGCGUCUAACUGGUGUUGCCUUUUUUAUUACUUACUGCAAAUUGAUUCCAUCAUCUGUCUUCUGUCUUGCUGGCUGCCUUGUGAAAACAAGCGGAAGUGACAAUAUUUGUAACUGCGAACAAGUCAAACAGGGGCUUGGCGAUAAUUGGUACUUGGCGAUAAGUGGUCGCUAGCCAGUGUAUGUGUUGGUUUCACUUUGGUUAAAUAAAAGGGUGAAGUUUCAGACAACAUUUAAUGGUACUUAAUAUUCAAUGGAGAAACUUCACUUUAGCAAUAGUGUCUUUAGGCAUUCCCACUAUAUCAAAUCAGUAUAAUUUGUGAAUAUGAUGAAGAGUGUACAGAGCCUAGAUCCCCUGACGAUGGGGAUGAAGGGUGUACAGAGCCUAGAUCCCCUGACGAUGGGGAUGAAGGGUGUACAGAGCUUAGAUCCCCUUACGAUGGGGAUGAAGAGUGUACAGAACUUAGAUCCCCUGACGAUGUGGAUGUAGUGUGUACAGAGCUUAGAUCCCCUGACGAUGGGGAUGAAGUGUGUACAGAGCUUAGAUCCCCUGACGAUGUGGAUGUAGUGUGUACAGAGCUUAGAUCCCCUGACGAUGGGGAUGAAGUGUGUACAGAGCUUAGAUCCCCUGACGAUGGGGAUGAAGUGUGUACAGAGCUUAGAUCCCCUGACGAUGGGGAUGAAGUGUGUACAGAGCUUAGAUCCCCUGACGAUGGGGAUGAAGUGUGUACAGAGCUUAGAUCCCCUGACGAUGGGGAUGAAUGGUGUACAGAGCUUAGACCCCUGACAAUGGGUGAUGAAGAGUGUACAGAGCUUAGAUCCCCUGACGAUGGGGAUGAAGUGUGUACAGAGCUUAGAUCCCCUGACGAUGGGGAUGGAGUGUGUACAGAGCUUAGAUCCCCUGACGAUGGGGAUGAAGUGUGUACAGAGCUUAGAUCCCCUGACGAUGUGGAUGUAGUGUGUACAGAGCUUAGAUCCCCUGAUGAUGGGGAUGAAGAGUGUACAGAGCUUAGAUCCCCUGACGAUGGGGAUGAAGUGUGUACAGAGCUUAGAUCCCCUGACAAUGGGGGAUGAAGAGUGUACAGAGCUUAGAUCCCCUGACGAUGGGGAUGAAGUGUGUACAGAGCUUAGAUCCCCUGACGAUGGGGAUGAAGUGUGUACAGAGCUUAGAUCCCCUGACAAUGGGGAUGAAGUGUGUACAGAGCUUAGAUCCCCUGACAAUGGGGGAUGAAGAGUGUACAGAGCUUAGAUCCCCUGACAAUGGGGGAUGAAGAGUGUACAGAGCUUAGAUCCCCUGACGAUGGGGAUGAAGUGUGUACAGAGCUUAGAUCCCCUGAUGAUGGGGAUUGAGAGUAUGCAUGGCAUGGAUCCCCUUAUGAAGUUUUGAGAGAGGAUGAACAGCUUGCUGAAGCCUUGAAGAGCAUUAUGAAAGGGAAAUCCUGGAAAGGUGAAGCCAAGUAAAGGCAAAAAGGUUGCACCUCCACCGACAGUGUCAGAUGAAGAUUCAAACAGCUCCCAUGAGGAAAGUGAGGAGG
RNAcentral lists this unclassified non-coding RNA (5406 nucleotides) under Haliotis rufescens (red abalone). RNAcentral describes it as "nucleolin-like, transcript variant X1". The record is from RNAcentral. Lineage: Eukaryota; Metazoa; Mollusca; Gastropoda; Lepetellida; Haliotidae.